CACCCCAUGGUAAGCUGGGUUAUGAGGUUCCUUUCCAGGAAAACAUAUGACAUUCAUUCUGUUUCUUUCAGGAGCAGUUAAGCAAAGAAAAGAACUUAAGCCAUGGGGUGAUAAGGAAGAAAGAAGAGAAAAAAAUUCAGGAUGUGUAAUGUGUGGCACGGCCCAUGGGUAGAUGUCAUUGUCCUCGGAGGGUCGGUUUCAUUGCAAGACCAAGAGACUUUCCUUACUUCCAACUAGAUGUGAAACAGAAGAACCAAUUUGAAUCCUACUUUCAACAUGAUCCAGCCAUGUAAGCAUAAACAAUUCAUUUACAUUCUGUGAAGUUCAGUCUCAAAGGGAUGCUGCUAUAAUUCAAAUCAGCUAGAAUUAUCCUUCCCCUUAAACUCUUGAAGAUUAGUUUGCAACCCCAUUCCAUAAGUUGUGGAUAGCCCAUUGUCCCUCCCAAGAUAGAGUCGCAAGGUUCUGGGGGGAUUCCCUGGUCACUUGGGCUCUCAGCUUUGGUGUUUAUACUGUGCGGUGUUGCUUCACAGCAGACUGAUGGGAAAAUCACCUCCUCUCCCUGACAUCCUUCAGACCCUCCCCACUUACAAAAGGGACAGCUUUCCAGGGUAUUCAAAUGCAAACUAUUGAAACAGGAUAUUCUGCAUUCUUGGUGUCUAAACCCACAGUGAAACUGAAAGUCACUCCAUCAUCUCUGAUUCUUUGUCAGGCUC
Molecule: long non-coding RNA, 713 nt
Filed under: Bos indicus x Bos taurus (hybrid cattle)
Lineage: Eukaryota; Metazoa; Chordata; Mammalia; Artiodactyla; Bovidae
Description: lncRNA (ENSBIXG00005008540.1)
Source: RNAcentral